UCCAGCUGCUCAGAAGCUGAGCAUUUCACUAUUUCACUCCCAGUGAAGCAAGUCAGCCAGCGGUUCUACUCAAAGAUCUUCCAGCAACAAAAGGGGGAUGGGGGGUGGGGAGGCAGCGGAACAGGACAGUGGAUUCCAUCAGCCUGCCUACCUCACAAGCCUCAGCAGAACCACAGUAAAUUCCAGCUGCUCCAACUCGCUGCUUGACCCACGUGUUUCUCUCCCAUCACACACCAACCUGAUGACAGAGCUCACCCAACAGGCAGCUAUCGGACAAGGAUUACGAGACAAGAACUACGAGAUUUCAUUCAGAACAAGGCACGUAUUACUCCAUCUUGCAUCUCAGAUGGCAAACAUAACCAAACACCCUGGAAUAUAGAACAAAUUCCUGGUAACAGCAUAACAGCAGAGAAACUUGGACUAGCACACAGAAUUAACCUGAGGUCUACGAAAUACCAAAUGGCAAAGGCAAUGCUCAGCCAAGAUGCUGUAUCAGAAGAACCUGGUGGCAGACAGAACUUUGAAGUGAUACAGUUCCUUGGUUAUUAACUUCAGAAGGCAACACUGCAUAUCUCAUCUUUUCAGACACCAAAGAUCUGCUGCUGACCAUAGCGUAAACAAAACUCUGAUAAACAGAAUUCUGAUAUGCAGUCGAGAAGCUUCCUAACUGCCCCCCAACAAGACAAUAUUCCAUGCUCCAGUCAACCAAUACUUAUUUUUCAGUCUCACCACGUAAGAAACAUAGAACCAGAAGGGUCAGUAGGUGCAAGACGUGUAUGACAAACAAUAUUUUCAGCUACAUACUGACAAGGUACUUUUACAGAUAGAUCCCCUAGCUAAACCUCAGCUGUUUCCCUAGGAGCUCCAGGGGACACCCACCCUCUAAUCACCACCAACGCAACUACAACAGCACAACUAGGAAACAUACACAGCCGUUCUACACGGCUGCACCUACAGCAUCACAUCCACUUCUGAUAGAAGUAUCCUCGGUUCAAGUCAUCACUAUGUUGUUUAUAAACAGUGGACC
Molecule: non-coding RNA, 1027 nt
Organism: Meleagris gallopavo (turkey)
Lineage: Eukaryota; Metazoa; Chordata; Aves; Galliformes; Phasianidae
Source: RefSeq, a predicted model, not a curated record